Long non-coding RNA from Cyprinus carpio carpio, 801 nucleotides. NCBI's taxonomy places the organism in Eukaryota, Metazoa, Chordata, Actinopteri, Cypriniformes, Cyprinidae. The record is from Ensembl.
GUCAGGAGUCUUAUCAAACAUGUGAAGUUUGGGGCAGAUUGGACAUUGUAUGUCUGAGUUAUAACAACUUAAUUUUUCAUGGCGAAACAUCGAAAUUCGUCAGGCCGCCACGGACACGCCCUUCAACGAAAACUCAAGAUCUUCGCAAUUUAACAUCGCAAAGGCCUUUAGAUUAGGCAUACCAAAUUUGGUGUUGAUCUGAAUAAAUCUCUAGGAGGAGUUCGUUAAAAUACAAGGCAUGCAAAUGACAAAAAUGAUGCAAAAUUUGCUCAUAAAAUUAAAAAUAACCGACUUCCUGUUGGGUUUCGGAUAUUGCUCCAAGAGUCUUUUUUGUAGGUACUGAUGCUUUACAUAUGUGUGCCAAUUUUCGUGCAUGUACGUGAAACACAGCUCGAGGGCUGUUGAUUUUUUUACGAUAGGUGGCGCUGUCGAGCCAUUUUGCCACACCCUCUUCUGAAACCUAUAUCAGACGUAAAUUUUCACCAGGUCUGACGUGUGUGCAAAGUUUCAUGACUUUUCGAGCAUGUUUAGGCCCUCAAAAAUGCGAUUCAUUUUGGAGAAGAAGAAGAAUAAUAAUAAAUAUAGCUGCAAGCAGCGAUGGCGGGCUCAAGCCAUCAGCGCAAACGCCACCCCGGUGGCAUCAGGUAAACUGUGCCCAGCGGGCACAUGCAUUUACAGUAACCCUCUGGCACUCAGGUUUUAAGGGAUACGGCAAUUAACAGGUUAAUCCGAAGCAUCAAGACUUUGAAAUCACAUUUACAGAAUAAUAUUCAUUAAGAAAGUGAAAUUAAAUGAUUAAUA